This 820-nucleotide long non-coding RNA is filed under the name Cricetulus griseus (Chinese hamster). RNAcentral's name for it is "lncRNA (ENSCGRG00000024853.1)". Lineage: Eukaryota; Metazoa; Chordata; Mammalia; Rodentia; Cricetidae. The record is from RNAcentral.
AGUCGGAUGCUGAUGCCUCCGCGCCGGGGUUCCCGUGCCCUGGGGAGCCCUUAGCUUUUUGUUUGCCUCCUCAGCGGGAGGCUGUUUUUGUUUAUUUGUUAAAAAAAAAAUAUCUUACUCCCCCUGCGAGGAAUCGGUAAAGGUGAUGAAAACUCCAAACUAAAAUAUCGAAAUGGCCACAGAAUCCGACUUACUGAGAGACCCACGUGAUAAAAUGAAUGAUAUUCCUAGGCAGCUUCAAAUUGAACAUAUUUUAAAAGACCCAAAUAUGCAGAACAGCAUGUCUAAAGGAGGCAGAGGUGAUGUACUAGUAAACUCCACAGAUGAACAAAGUUCUUUACCUCCUCUUAUUGUUGAGUAUGAGAAACAUCUGGAAGAGCUAAGCAGACAAUUGACCUAUUACCAGAAACACAUGGGUGAGAUGAAACUACAACUUGAAACUGUCAUCACUGAAAACGAAAGGUUGCACAGUAAAUUAAAAGAUGCUGUUGAAAAGCAAUUGGAAGCCCUUCCCUUUGGCACAGGGAUAGGAAAUGACAUCUGUGCAGAUGAUGAGACUGUGAGGAACCUUCAGGAACAGUUGCAACUAGCCAAUCAGGAGAAAGCUUGGGCUCUGGAACUCUGGCAGACUGCUUCUCAGGAGUUGGAAAGUAUACGGAAACUCUACCAGGAACAUAUGACUGAAGCCCAGAUUCAUGUAUUUGAAAAUCAAAAGCAAAAGGAUCAGCUGAAUAAUUUUCAACAACUAACCAAGAAACUUCAUGUUGCUAAUGAGAACAUAGAAAUGUGCCCUUUGAAGAUACAACCAACCUGUAUUUGA